GGUCAAGUUAUUAAGAGUCCAUGGUGAAUGCCUUGGGGUCAAGGACUGAAGAAGGGCGUGGCAAGACUGCGAAAAGCCUCGGUCAGCCGUCUAGCGGGCUUAGCCGGGGAUUCCCGAAUUGGGAAACCAGUUCCGGGUCAUACCGGAACAUUCUGAUUUUUAUCAGAAAGGUAAGUGGGCGAACUGAAACAUCUAAGUAGCCCGAGGAAAAUAAAUCAACCGAGAUUCCCCUAGUAGUGGUGAACGAACGGGGAACAGCCUAAACCAAACAGGCUUAACGGUCUGAGGACCUAUGUCUGAUUGGUGUUGUAACACCUACCUGCUUCAACCUCAGCAAGAAGCAAAAAGUUACAAAACCGUCUUCUAGAUGAAAGCGUCUGGAAAGAACUGCCAAAGAGGGUGAUAGCCCCGUAGUUGAAAGGAGACGGACUUUUGGUAGGCUGUUGAGUACCACGGGACACGUGGAAUCCUGUGGGAAUCUGGGGGGACCACCCUCCAAGGCUAAAUAUCCUUGACCACCGAUAGUGAACCAGUACCGUGAGGGAAAGGUGAAAAGAACCCCGGGAGGGGAGUGAAAUAGACCUGAAACCGUGGACUUACAAGCCGUAGAAGGCCUUUACGAAGGCUAACUGCGUGCCUAUUGAAGAAUGAGCCGGCGAGUUAAUCUAGUUAGCUUGGUUAAGGAACAGAAAUUCUGGAGCCGCAGCGAAAGCGAGUCCUAAUAGGGCGUUAGUUAGGCGGCGAGGAAUUCAUUUUCCGAGUUCUUUUUUUAUUUGUUGAUUACCUUCGGGUGAGAUUCAGCUGAAAUCAGAAUGACGUCAAUGACUGAAUUGCCAAUAUGCUUAACGUGUUGUCUGGAUUAGACCCGAAACCGAGUGAGCUACCCAUGGCCAGGUUGAAACCCGGAUAAUAUCCGGGCGGAGGACCGAACCCGUGUCUGGUGCAAAAGGCUGGGAUGAGCUGUGGGUAGAGGUGAAAUGCCAAACGAACUCGGAGAUAGCUGGUUCUCCCCGAAAUGUAUUUAGGUACAGCCUUCAGAUAAUUACUGGGAGGUAGGGCACUGGUUGAGCUAGGGGCUGUAAAGUUACCGAACUCAUCCAAACCACGAAUGCUCAGUAAUGAUUCUGUGGAGUGAGACAGUGGGGGAUAAGCUCCAUUGUCGAGAGGGAAACAGCCCAGAUCGCAGGCUAAGGUCCCUAAGUAUGUGCUAAGUGUGAAAGGAAGUGGGAAUACUAAAACAGCUAGUAGGUUGGCUUAGAAGCAGCCAUCCUUUAAAGAGUGCGUAACAGCUCACUAGUCGAGGAUUCUCGCGCCGAAAAUGUAACGGGGCUAAAGCACAUCACCGAAGCCGCGGGACUUUCGUUUUAACGGAAGUCGGUAGGGGAGCGUUGCUAGCGCGUUGAAGUCAGACUGUGAGGUCUGGUGGAGUGCUGGGAAGUGAGAAUGCCGGCAUGAGUAGCGACAAUCCUGGUGAGAAUCCAGGACACCGAAAGCAUAAGGUUUCCUACGCAAUGCUGAUCAGCGUAGGGUAAGUCGGGCCUAAGCCGUAGCGUAUAGCGAAGGCGAUGGACAGCAGGUUAAGAUUCCUGCACCGCAGACGUAGUGUUAUAAAGUAGAGGGGGGACACGGACAGAUAGGCGGGGCGCGCCCAUUGGACAUGGCGCGUCUGGCUCUGAAGGCCAAGCUAGGACAGGCAAAUCCGUUCUAGCGUGAUGAGCUGAGGGAGCUGGAAACUCCAGGGCUUAUGCCCGGGGGGAUUCCGUUGAUUCUAUGCCGUCGAGAAAAUCCUCGCUACAAAUUACGUCAGCGUCCGUACCGCAAACCGACACAGGUAGACAGGGGUAAGUGUCCCCAGGUGAACGAGAGAACCCUCGUUAAGGAAUUCGACAAGUUGACCCCGUAACUUAGGGAUAAGGGGUGCCCGUGGGGUGAAGGCUGCUAGCCAGCCGGAUGCCUUAGCGGGCGACACUAAACAGGCUCAGGCGACUGUUUAUCAAAAACACAGGUCUCUGCUAAACCGAAAGGUGAUGUAUAGGGGCUGACACCUGCCCAGUGCCGGAAGGUUAAGGGGAUGGGUUCGUUCGCUUGCGAACAAAGCUCAGAACCGAAGCCCCGGUGAACGGCGGCCGUAACUAUAACGGUCCUAAGGUAGCGAAAUCCCUUGUCGGGUAAGUUCCGACCCGCACGAAUGGCGUAACGACUUGAGCGUUGUCUCAACGAGGGGCUCGGUGAAAUUGCAUGGCCGGUAAAGAUGCCGGCUACCCGUGACAGGACAAAAAGACCCCGUGGAGCUUUACUGUAGUUUGGCAGUGGUUCGGGGUUGCGGAUGUGUAGGAUAGGCGGGAGACUUUGAAACUUCAGCGUCAGCUGGGGUGGAGUCGCCCUUGAAAUACCGCCCUUCUGUGAUCGUGAUCCUAACCCCAUUAAAAUUGGGGGACCCUGCCUGAUGGGCAGUUUGACUGGGGCGGUCGCCUCCUAAAGAGUAACGGAGGCGCACAAAGG
This 2502-nucleotide ribosomal RNA is filed under the name SAR202 cluster bacterium. RNAcentral describes it as "partial 23S ribosomal RNA". It matches the Rfam family "Bacterial large subunit ribosomal RNA", at positions 1 to 2316 of the family's 2925-position model. Lineage: Bacteria; Bacillati; Chloroflexota; Dehalococcoidia. The record is from RNAcentral.